This 894-nucleotide ribosomal RNA is filed under the name uncultured archaeon. RNAcentral describes it as "bacterial SSU rRNA". It matches the Rfam family "Archaeal small subunit ribosomal RNA", at positions 21 to 904 of the family's 1478-position model. The record is from RNAcentral.
CCCGACUGCUAUUUGGGUGAGAAUAAGCCAUGCGAGUUGAAUGGGAUACCUAAAGUUCCCAUAGCAAACUGCUCAGUAACACAUGAUCAACUUACCCUAUAGAGAAAAAUAACCUCGGGAAACUGAGGAUAAUGUUUCAUAAUUGAAUUGGCUUGGAAAUGUUUUUCAAUGAAAAGGAUAAAAAAAUGGUUUUUAUCUGCUAUAGGAUAGGAUCGUGUUCGAUUAUGGUUGUUGGUGAGAUAAUGGCUCACCAAGCCGAUAAUCGAUAGGGGCCGUGAGAGCGGGAGCCCCGAGAUGGGUACUGAGACAACGACCCAGGCCUUACGAGGCGCAGCAGGCGCGGAACCUCCGCAAUACACGAAAGUGUGACGGGGUUACCCAAAGUGUUCAAUUUGAACUGUGGUAGGUGAGUAAUGUCCCCUACUAGAAAGGAGAGGGCAAGGCUGGUGCCAGCCGCCGCGGUAAAACCAGCUCUUCAAGUGGUCGGGAUAAUAUUGGGCUUAAAGUGUCCGUAGCCGGUUUAGUAAGUUCCUGGUAAAAUCGGGUAGCUUAACUAUCUGCAUGCUAGGAAUACUGCUAUACUAGAGGGCGGGAGAGGUCUGAGGUACUGCAGGGGUAGGGGUGAAAUCUUAUAAUCCUUGUAGGACCACCAGUGGCGAAGGCGUCAGACUGGAACGCGCCUGACGGUGAGGGACGAAAGCCAGGGGAGCGAACCGGAUUAGAUACCCGGGUAGUCCUGGCCGUAAACGAUGCAUACUAGGUGAUGGUACGGCCAUGAGCCGUAUCAGUGCCGUAGGGAAACCGUUAAGUGUGCCGCCUGGGAAGUACGGUCGCAAGGCUAAAACUUAAAGGAAUUGGCGGGGGAGCACCACAAGGGGUGAGGCCUGCGGUUCA